GGACCUGUGGUCUAGUGGUUAGGACGUCCGCCUGACUCGCGGGAGGUCCCCGGUUCGAAUCCGGGCAGGUCCA
RNAcentral lists this transfer RNA (73 nucleotides) under Nanobdellota archaeon. RNAcentral's name for it is "tRNA-Val". It matches the Rfam family "tRNA". Rfam says of the family: Transfer RNA (tRNA) molecules are approximately 80 nucleotides in length. Their secondary structure includes four short double-helical elements and three loops (D, anti-codon, and T loops). The record is from RNAcentral. Lineage: Archaea; Nanobdellati; Nanobdellota.